This 506-nucleotide ribosomal RNA is filed under the name uncultured bacterium. RNAcentral's name for it is "bacterial SSU rRNA". It matches the Rfam family "Bacterial small subunit ribosomal RNA", at positions 29 to 507 of the family's 1533-position model. The record is from RNAcentral.
AACGAACGCUGGCGGCGUGGAUAAGACAUGCAAGUCGAGCGCUCAUCCGGUUGCAGCAAUGUAAACGGGUGGGAGCGGCGCAAGGGUGCGUAACACGUGGGUAAUUUGCCGUAAAGCUGGGGAUAACUCCGAGAAAUCGGAGCUAAUACCGAAUGUGAUUUCCUGGGGACAUCCCCGGGUUAUCAAAGUUGGGGACCGAAAGGCCUGACACUUUACGAUAAGCCCGCGGCCUAUCAGCUAGUUGGUGAGGUAACGGCCCACCAAGGCUAAGACGGGUAGCUGGUCUGAGAGGACGACCAGCCACACUGGAACUGAGACACGGUCCAGACACCUACGGGUGGCAGCAGUCGAGAAUUUUUCACAAUGGGCGCAAGCCUGAUGGAGCGACGCCGCGUGGGGGAUGAAGGGCUUCGGCUCGUAAACCCCUGUCAUUUGCGAACAAACCUUGCCUGUGAAUAACAGGCGAGCUGAUUGUAGCGAAAGAGGAAGGGACGGCUAACUCUGUG